This 397-nucleotide ribosomal RNA is filed under the name uncultured bacterium. Its description in RNAcentral is "partial 16S ribosomal RNA". It matches the Rfam family "Bacterial small subunit ribosomal RNA", at positions 523 to 918 of the family's 1533-position model. The record is from RNAcentral.
AUACGUAGGGGGCGAGCGUUGUCCGGAAUGAUUGGGCGUAAAGGGCGCGUAGGCGGCGCGGUAAGUCUGGAGUGAAAGUCCUGCUUUCAAGGUGGGAAUUGCUUUGGAUACUGCCGCGCUUGAGUGCAGGAGAGGUUAUCGGAAUUCCCGGUGUAGCGGUGAAAUGCGUAGAGAUCGGGAGGAACACCAGUGGCGAAGGCGGGUAACUGGACUGCAACUGACGCUGAGGCGCGAAAGUGUGGGGAGCAAACAGGAUUAGAUACCCUGGUAGUCCACGCUGUAAACGAUGAAUGCUAGGUGUAAGAGGUAUCGACCCCUUUUGUGCCGGAGUCAACACAAUAAGCAUUCCGCCUGGGGAGUACGGCAGCAAGGUUGAAACUCAAAUGAAUUGACGGGG